CAGAAUGAAGACCAGAGUGACCAGGAAGCUGGCCAGCAGGAGGACGGGCACCACAAUCACCUCCUGUUCAUAAACACGGAUCUCUGCAAGAAGUAAUGCAACGCCGCUGGGUCCGGUGAAGAGCGGCCAUUUGUGGUCAUGACUCACAGACAUCAACUGGUUCUCCUGCCCUGUCAGGUAAACAAAUGUCAGCAUCCUCUGGUUAUAUAAGCAAACAAAGCUGGGAUUGUAUCAGAGGUUAAACUUCAUAUGAAGGGCGCGACAACCUACUAACUGUUACUGUUUUCCUUUAAGAUAAAAUAAUGGCACUUGUUGUUCUUGCAGGAAAAAUUACCAGUGAAUCAAAAUUUUAAUAAUAUUCUUUUUUACUCUUUUCAUUUUUUUUUUUUAGAUAAAAUCACUUGUUUGGGUUAUUUUCUGCAUUACUCCCUCUUCAUAUUAGGUUAGUAGAAUAGGUAACGUCUGAUAUUUUCUUGGCUCAAUUUUUAGUUCAACCACUUAUGAUAAAUACAGAUUUUGAAGAGAAAGAUUGAAACGUUAAAAGUCGCAGAGAUCAAAUCCUUGAUGUUCCUGUACUUUUAUUACACUACAUUUACUCUUCUACUUUAUCACAUGUCCUUUUACUUAUAUUGUUAAUUUUCUCAUCUUAAAGAUAUUAUGUUAGUGCUGCAUUUUGUUUUAAACUAACAAAUUUACACAAACAAUAAGGCACAGCUCGCUAAUGAGCAUGCAUUUCCACUCCAGGUCUUUUAAAAAGAAAUAAGAAUUAAACAACUGACUCUGAUUUGUGUCUGUUCAUGUUAAUGACAUCACAAGAGGCAAAAGACGUAAUUAGCUAAUAGCUUUAAACAGCUUCUCUAUUGUUUUCCCCACUUAUUGUGGUCUGCUUAUCUGAAGUCGCAGAAUCUAGAAGGAGCAGUAAAGUCCCUUCAGAAAGUUCUGGUUCUGCUUCGUUGGAAGUCUUCUCUUACCAAGACUGGUCAGAAAAACCUCCGAUGAAGGAGACUCCCUCCAUAAACACUUGUCAAAGAUCGUGUCCUUCAGGCAACAAUUGACCUCAUGAUAAUAGAUGAGGGGUCAGUUCAAAGUUCGCUUCACCAACACAAACUGGAAUCCAGCGCUCCCUGCUGGAGAACACCUUUUUAAGUAAUCUAAUCUAAUGACAACUACCCCUAAUGUAAUGGGGAAAUAAAUGUGUUCAGAUUUAGGGAGAGGGUUUUCUAAAAUCUUAAAGGUUCACAGACUUUCAUCAGAUCAAGAAAAGAUUUAUUAAAGAUUUAUUAAAGUUUUUAUUAGAAACACAAACAUCAACUUUGCUCUGGUCUUUGACAAAAAGCCAUUCAUUCAUUUGAUUCCAUUAAUCCCAUCUCUCUGAAUCAAACCAAUGGACAGACUGCAACAUAAGUCACAGAGCCACGUCAACAGCAGAGCCAACAAUAAAAAUGACCUGUUAGCAUCUAAAUGUAGCGAACGCUGCUG
Molecule: long non-coding RNA, 1479 nt
Organism: Poecilia latipinna (sailfin molly)
Lineage: Eukaryota; Metazoa; Chordata; Actinopteri; Cyprinodontiformes; Poeciliidae
Exons: 2
Source: RefSeq, a predicted model, not a curated record